CCUACGGGUGGCUGCAGUGAGGAAUAUUGGUCAAUGGGCGCGAGCCUGAACCAGCCAAGUCGCGUGAGGGACGACUGCCCUAUGGGUUGUAAACCUCUUUUGUCGAGGAACAAAGUGAGGCACGUGUGCCUUUUUGUAUGUACUUUAUGAAUAAGCAUCGGCUAACUCCGUGCCAGCAGCCGCGGUAAUACGGAGGAUGCGAGCGUUAUCCGGAUUUAUUGGGUUUAAAGGGUGCGUAGAAGGAGUGUUAAGUCAGCGGGAAAAGUUUGCGGCUCAACGCCAAAAAGCCAUUGAAACUGGCAGUCUUGAGUGGGCGAGAGGUAGGCGGAAUGCGUGGUGUAGCGGUGAAAUGCAUAGAUAUCACGAAGAACUCCGAUUGCGAAGGCAGCAUAC
Molecule: ribosomal RNA, 393 nt
Filed under: uncultured bacterium
Lineage: Bacteria
Description: partial 16S ribosomal RNA
Rfam family: Bacterial small subunit ribosomal RNA
Source: RNAcentral